ACCACCGAGAAGGUCUGCAGCUUCACUGCAGAAGCCAGUGAGACCACAAACCUACCGAAAGUAAGAAACUCUGGACACAUGUGAACAUCUGAGGGAACAAACUCCGGACACACCAUCUUUCAGAACUGUAACACUCACCGCGAGCGUCGGCGGCUUGGUUCUUGAAGUCAGCGAGACCAAGAACCCACCAAUUCCGAACACUCUCCCUCUGAUGAAGUACCUCAAAAGCUAAGCUCCCAUCAAUCCUGGAGAGAUAGAAUCAGCAGAGCAUAGUGGCAGAAUGAAUGGUUUAAAAGGAACAGCAGCGACCAAAGAACUUUUUAUGCAGAGAAACCCCAAAUCUGGGGCAAAGCCCUCCUGUUCAUUUUAUCUCACACAAGACCAAGUGACCCCAGCUGCAGCCGGAGUGCUCACAGUAAACUGAAAUUACAUGAAUGACACCCAGGGAAAGACGCUUGUAUUAUAAAGAGGCUACAUUUCUAUUUGGUUUACUGAUGUAUUAAUUUUUCAAAGUUUGGAAUCUCUUCAAAUACAAGAGCCUAUGAAUAUUGCCUUAUCCAGAAAAAGGGUCUUUGGAGAUAUAAUUAUGUUUCUUCAGAAGAGGAGCUUAUCUUGGAUUAUUCAAGUAGCUUCCAAAUGCAAUGACAGAUCUUUGUAAGAGAUGCAUAGAGGAGACAGAUGUACAGGAGGAAGCCAAGUGAAGACAGAGGCAAAGAUGAGUGAUCCAGUCACAAGCUUCUGACUGCCAUCAGAAGCUGGAAGAGAGAUGGGGUCUCGCUAUGUUGCCCAGUCUGGUCUCAAACUCCUAGCCUCAAGUGAUCCUUCUCCCUUGGCCUCCCAAAGUGCUGGGAUUACAAGCAUGAGCCACGAUGGCUGGCCCUGAAUUUGGACUUCCGGCCAAAAAACUAUUCAUUCAUAGCUGCUACACAUUCAUCUCUAUAUAAAACCUACUCUCCCCUCUGAAAAAGCAGCAUAACCAGUCAACGAACAAGUAUAUAGGAUUAGCACAUUAUGAAGAAUAAAGAGAAGCUUUCAGCUCUCCGUCAUGGAUGAUAUUUAUCACAUUUUCCACGACUGGCUCUAAUAACAGUGCAGAGAUAAAAUAGGCUUGAUGCAUCUUUCCUGUACAGAGAAUUUUACAACAGCAACUGUAAGAAAUUCAGGAGAUGAAACACUUCUCCCCUCUUGCAGUUUUUAUUAGUCUUAAAAAUGGGAGGUGGGUGUGUGGGGGAGACUGUUUCUACAAAAGUGGGCUUGAAUUUUCUGUCUGUUAUGCUAAUGUAUUCAUAGAAAAAGCUGGUGCUGAGGGCGGUUCUCCAAUUAAGACAAAUGAGGCACAUUGAAUUUCUCCCCCAGGGCACAGCAGGGGUGCUGGCAAAAUCUACUUUAUUCUUUUCUGUCAGGACUGAACUGGAAACAAAAGCAUGAAAAUUCAACACAUCCACUUACAGAAUAAUAAAGGCUGUUGUUUAAAGC
Molecule: long non-coding RNA, 1476 nt
Organism: Homo sapiens (human)
Lineage: Eukaryota; Metazoa; Chordata; Mammalia; Primates; Hominidae
Product: long intergenic non-protein coding RNA 2240
Source: Ensembl